Molecule: ribosomal RNA, 254 nt
Filed under: uncultured bacterium
Lineage: Bacteria
Description: partial 16S ribosomal RNA
Rfam family: Bacterial small subunit ribosomal RNA
Source: RNAcentral
UACGUAGGUGGCAAGCGUUGUCCGGAAUUAUUGGGCGUAAAGAGCUCGUAGGCGGUCUGUCGCGUCGGCUGUGAAAACCCGGGGCUCAACCCCGGGCCUGCGGUCGAUACGGGCAGACUAGAGUGCGGUAGGGGAGACUGGAAUUCCUGGUGUAGCGGUGAAAUGCGCAGAGUAUCAGGAGGAACACCGGUGGCGAAGGCGGGUCUCUGGGCCGAUACUGACGCUGAGGAGCGAAAGCGUGGGGAGCGAACAGG